Molecule: long non-coding RNA, 743 nt
Organism: Apodemus sylvaticus (European woodmouse)
Lineage: Eukaryota; Metazoa; Chordata; Mammalia; Rodentia; Muridae
Exons: 3
Source: RefSeq, a predicted model, not a curated record
CGCUAGCUCGUCACAAGAGGGGUCGAGCUCACACACCUCCCUGCUGGGCUCCAGGGGAUCUGGGUAGGGGGCUGGGGCUCUGAGAAGCAUCAACCGACACAGUGGGAUUAACCAACACGGGGUAUAUACAGCCUCUUCCCACUGUACGAGAGGCUCCAGGACCCUGGGCAUGGGGAUUGACCUGCACUGUAGAGCGAGCCCUCAGCAGUUCAGAGAGACUGUCCCAGGACAACUCCUCCCUACCAACACAAGGCAAAGGGCACUGGCCAGCGCCUCACCUCCUCCCCACUUACCCAAGCGCAUAGCGCCGGACUCUGUUCACUACCUCACUGCCCUCCUGCUUGGACACGAAAGCUGUGGAGCAGAGGCACAAGAUCAGGUAUCCCUAGUCCUUGGCGACCCCCCAACUCUUGUUGAGGCUGGAUCCUGGCAUAAAUGGUGCCCACAUGUAGGACUCUUGGACCUUUAGGCCGACCCCGACCUGUCUUUGGUAACACACCCACCAACCUGAAUUCAAAUGACACUGGCCAAGCAGGCAGGAGGCAGAGCACCCAGAGGAUGAACCCUGGAGCUUUCCAAGAGCAGCGGGAAGACGGCCCAGGCUGUGUGCGGAGACUGGCAGGGGACAGACCACUGUGGUGUUUUUUCUGUCCUUAGGGUCUCGCAGACAGAGCUAACGGAGCGGCCCCUGGUUAAGGUAAGGCUUCAGGCAGGAGAGGGGAGUGUCUGUCCCACCCUAGGAA